This 1540-nucleotide ribosomal RNA is filed under the name Klebsiella aerogenes. RNAcentral describes it as "bacterial SSU rRNA". It matches the Rfam family "Bacterial small subunit ribosomal RNA". The record is from RNAcentral. Lineage: Bacteria; Pseudomonadati; Pseudomonadota; Gammaproteobacteria; Enterobacterales; Enterobacteriaceae.
AAAUUGAAGAGUUUGAUCAUGGCUCAGAUUGAACGCUGGCGGCAGGCCUAACACAUGCAAGUCGAGCGGUAACACAGAGAGCUUGCUCUCGGGUGACGAGCGGCGGACGGGUGAGUAAUGUCUGGGAAACUGCCUGAUGGAGGGGGAUAACUACUGGAAACGGUAGCUAAUACCGCAUAACGUCGCAAGACCAAAGUGGGGGACCUUCGGGCCUCAUGCCAUCAGAUGUGCCCAGAUGGGAUUAGCUAGUAGGUGGGGUAAUGGCUCACCUAGGCAACGAUCCCUAGCUGGUCUGAGAGGAUGACCAGCCACACUGGAACUGAGACACGGUCCAGACUCCUACGGGAGGCAGCAGUGGGGAAUAUUGCACAAUGGGCGCAAGCCUGAUGCAGCCAUGCCGCGUGUAUGAAGAAGGCCUUCGGGUUGUAAAGUACUUUCAGCGAGGAGGAAGGCGUUAAGGUUAAUAACCUUAGCGAUUGACGUUACUCGCAGAAGAAGCACCGGCUAACUCCGUGCCAGCAGCCGCGGUAAUACGGAGGGUGCAAGCGUUAAUCGGAAUUACUGGGCGUAAAGCGCACGCAGGCGGUCUGUCAAGUCGGAUGUGAAAUCCCCGGGCUCAACCUGGGAACUGCAUUCGAAACUGGCAGGCUAGAGUCUUGUAGAGGGGGGUAGAAUUCCAGGUGUAGCGGUGAAAUGCGUAGAGAUCUGGAGGAAUACCGGUGGCGAAGGCGGCCCCCUGGACAAAGACUGACGCUCAGGUGCGAAAGCGUGGGGAGCAAACAGGAUUAGAUACCCUGGUAGUCCACGCCGUAAACGAUGUCGACUUGGAGGUUGUGCCCUUGAGGCGUGGCUUCCGGAGCUAACGCGUUAAGUCGACCGCCUGGGGAGUACGGCCGCAAGGUUAAAACUCAAAUGAAUUGACGGGGGCCCGCACAAGCGGUGGAGCAUGUGGUUUAAUUCGAUGCAACGCGAAGAACCUUACCUACUCUUGACAUCCAGAGAACUUAGCAGAGAUGCUUUGGUGCCUUCGGGAACUCUGAGACAGGUGCUGCAUGGCUGUCGUCAGCUCGUGUUGUGAAAUGUUGGGUUAAGUCCCGCAACGAGCGCAACCCUUAUCCUUUGUUGCCAGCGGUCCGGCCGGGAACUCAAAGGAGACUGCCAGUGAUAAACUGGAGGAAGGUGGGGAUGACGUCAAGUCAUCAUGGCCCUUACGAGUAGGGCUACACACGUGCUACAAUGGCAUAUACAAAGAGAAGCGACCUCGCGAGAGCAAGCGGACCUCAUAAAGUAUGUCGUAGUCCGGAUUGGAGUCUGCAACUCGACUCCAUGAAGUCGGAAUCGCUAGUAAUCGUAGAUCAGAAUGCUACGGUGAAUACGUUCCCGGGCCUUGUACACACCGCCCGUCACACCAUGGGAGUGGGUUGCAAAAGAAGUAGGUAGCUUAACCUUCGGGAGGGCGCUUACCACUUUGUGAUUCAUGACUGGGGUGAAGUCGUAACAAGGUAACCGUAGGGGAACCUGCGGUUGGAUCACCUCCUUA